UGUUCGUGAACGCAUGUAUAUCCUUAACAAACAAACACAAACAAGGCCUUGUUUUUGUUCGUUCAGUUCGUUUACCAUGCUUUGAAUCAUGUGUAAACAUGCCUUAGUAUAGUACAUAAGCUUGAUUACUAUAACAUACAUUAAAAUGGACAAAAAGGAGUCUUUCAUUCAUCAUAAAAAGUAAAAACAAUUACAUAAAAUACUCAGAACUCUUCUUACAACUGAUAUAUUACUAUAACAUACAUUAUUUUUUUGUUUCAUUCAUUUUACAAAGAAAACAGUACAUGAAAUGAAGUUGACCACCAGAUAGAUUACUUCGAUUCGGUCAACUUCACACUGAAAUCCCACAGUUUCUUUGCCAAUUCUGGGUCGCGUGCAUACCCGCUUGCUUUACUCAAGUUGCUGUCAGCAAAGUACUGCCCACUAACGCCCUUAAGUUGCGGGUGCAACGCUACAUAGCAUGUAGUUGCAGCUCCCUGUGGAACGUUCUUCAAGAAACUAUGGACCGUGUUAACGAAUAUAGCUGUAAGAAACCACCGUGACGCGCUAGAUUCGUUUUAAUAACUCCAGGGUGCAGGGAAUUGGCGGUUAUAUUCACCCCCU
Molecule: long non-coding RNA, 603 nt
Filed under: Helianthus annuus (common sunflower)
Lineage: Eukaryota; Viridiplantae; Streptophyta; Magnoliopsida; Asterales; Asteraceae
Description: hypothetical non coding rna
Source: RNAcentral